UUGAAGAGUUUGAUCAUGGCUCAGAUUGAACGCUGGCGGCAGGCCUAACACAUGCAAGUCGAACGGUAACAGGAUGUGCUUGCACAUCGCUGACGAGUGGCGGACGGGUGAGUAAUGCUUGGGAACUUGCCUUUGCGAGGGGGAUAACAGUUGGAAACGACUGCUAAUACCGCAUAAUGUCUUCGGACCAAACGGGGCUUAGGCUCCGGCGCAAAGAGAGGCCCAAGUGAGAUUAGCUAGUUGGUAAGGUAACGGCUUACCAAGACAGCGAUAGAUAGGGGCCCUGAGAGGGGGAUCCCCCACACUGGUACUGAGACACGGACCAGACUCCUACGGGAGGCAGCAG
Molecule: ribosomal RNA, 346 nt
Filed under: Dolichomastix tenuilepis
Lineage: Eukaryota; Viridiplantae; Chlorophyta; Mamiellophyceae; Dolichomastigales; Dolichomastigaceae
Description: partial Bacterial small subunit ribosomal RNA
Rfam family: Bacterial small subunit ribosomal RNA
Source: RNAcentral